UACAGAGGCCUCGAGCGUUAGGCGGAAUCACUGGGCUUAAAGCGUGUGUAGGCGGACUUCUAAGUACCUUGUGAAAUCCCACGGCUCACCCGUGGAACUGCUUGGUAUACUGGUCGUCUUGAGCCUUCUAGGGGCGAGUGGAGCAAAUGGUGGAGCGGUGAAAUGCGUAGAUAUCAUUUGGAACGCCAAUGGUGAAAACAACUCGCUGGGGAAGUGCUGAUGCUGAGACACGAAAGCCAGGGGAGCGAACGGG
RNAcentral lists this ribosomal RNA (253 nucleotides) under uncultured bacterium. RNAcentral describes it as "partial 16S ribosomal RNA". It matches the Rfam family "Bacterial small subunit ribosomal RNA", at positions 524 to 776 of the family's 1533-position model. The record is from RNAcentral.